GUAGGGAAUAUUGCGCAAUGGACGAAAGUCUGACGCAGCGACGCCGCGUGAGUGAUGAAGGCCUUAGGGUCGUAAAGCUCUGUUGAAUGGGAAGAAAAAAAUGACGGUACCAUUCGAGGAAGGACCGGCUAACUUCGUGCCAGCAGCCGCGGUAAUACGAGGGGUCCUAGCGUUGUUCGGAAUCAUCGGGCGUAAAGGGUGUGUAGGUGGCCAUGUAAGUCAGGUGUGAAAGCCCCGGGCUCAACCCGGGAAGUGCACUUGAUACUGCGUGGCUUGAGUACCGAAGAGGGUAGUGGAAUUCCAGGUGUAGUGGUGAAAUACGUAGAUAUCUGGAGGAACACCGGUGGCGAAGGCGGCUACCUGGUCGAGUACUGACACUGAGACACGAAAGCAUGGGGAUCAAACAGGAUUAGAAACCCCUGUAGUCC
Molecule: ribosomal RNA, 428 nt
Filed under: uncultured bacterium
Lineage: Bacteria
Description: partial 16S ribosomal RNA
Rfam family: Bacterial small subunit ribosomal RNA
Source: RNAcentral